Bos indicus x Bos taurus (hybrid cattle) is the source of this 1281-nucleotide long non-coding RNA. NCBI's taxonomy places the organism in Eukaryota, Metazoa, Chordata, Mammalia, Artiodactyla, Bovidae. The record is from Ensembl.
GCGGAGGCGGGGUGGCGCAGGAAGAAGGGAGCAGAAACCGGGUGGGGGCGGGACGCCGGCCGCGAGCGCGCGUGGGGGAGGCACUCCGCAAAGUGGCGAGUCAGGGUGGCCGGGUCUUGGGCGCCGCUCCCCCGAAAGCGGUCGAGAUCAGGCGUCCGCACUGGGCAACAGAGGUCCCUGAACGCUCGGACACUUCCUGGGGAAGGGGGCGGGGGCAAGGGUAAGGACUUGGUGAAGGAGGGUGAGAGGCUGGCGUGCUGUCCCAAGGGUCCAGCCUCUACCGGGCACUUUCGGAGCACACCCGCAAUCUAUCCUUGGACAGUCAUCCCUUCAAGAGCAGGUGCCCAGGAGACAGAACCCCCAAGAUGGCUGGAGGACUCCAGAAGACAGCAGGGGCUGAGACAGGUUUUUUCAAUGGGGUCAUUAACCCGAAUGAACUACGCUCUGCUUCACAUGGAUUCAAAGAAAAUGGAAGGGAUAUUCAGGAAGCAUUUGCCUUUGCUCCUAACCUCAGAGCCUUUGUUCACAGAAAUUCUCCUUGGUUUAAUUUCCUUUCAACACCAGCUCCAGUUUCUUCCUUUUUAUUGCUUGCAGUGUUUAAGGUAGAUUUCAGUAUAGUAUGUAAUUUCUGGGAUUCUUUUGGUUGCAAGUAACAGAAAGCUGGCUCAAACUGGCUCCAACAAUGCGGGCGUUGUUGACUCACGUGUCAGAAGUCAGGCCUGUCUUCCUCCCCCAGCUCCCUCUCCUCCAGGCCAGCUAGAGGCAGCUUCCAUCCUUCCCACCCCAAGACUGAUGUCCAUUGACCUGUAUGAGGUCACAGGCCAGUGAGGAGCCAGGUGGGUAUAGAGCAAGAGCUGUUGCUCAUCCAAAGGGAGCAGAGUGACCAGGACGAGGAGAAUGGUGGGUGGAGGCUGGCCAGUGAAAACAGGGUCUCAUUGCUCUGGGAGGGGAAUUAGCCUGGGGAGAAUUCUCCAGGGCCAUCUGCUCCCAUCAGUCGUGAGACAGUAGAGGAAGGAGAGGGGCUUUCCAGAAAAGCUUCCGUGGCCCCGAGCCCCACCCAACCCCACCCCCUUGAAGAUCCUAGUCUUGAUUGCCCUCCUGCCCAACUGGACGCUCACGUUUGGUAGCAGCUGAGGCAGGAGGACUAAUCGCCUCACUUCGGGCCUGCACCCUCCAGCUGACAUCUGGGCAGGAGGUGAACAGCUGGGAGGGAAGCCAUCAUUCAGAAGAGCGUUCACUGAGCACCUGGGGCAAGUGAAAAUAAGCACAUCCAGCCAAAUG